This 121-nucleotide ribosomal RNA is filed under the name Symphypleona sp. SB-2016. RNAcentral describes it as "partial 28S ribosomal RNA". Lineage: Eukaryota; Metazoa; Arthropoda; Collembola; Symphypleona. The record is from RNAcentral.
UACAGCCGUUGCACACGAGUCAGUCGAUCCUAAGCCCUAGGAGAAAUCCGAUGUCGAUGGGGGCCGUCAUAGCAUGAUGCCUAUUUGUGCUGGCCCCCGUUGGGCGAAAGGGAAUCCGGUU